RNAcentral lists this ribosomal RNA (495 nucleotides) under uncultured Ignavibacteriaceae bacterium. RNAcentral describes it as "bacterial SSU rRNA". It matches the Rfam family "Bacterial small subunit ribosomal RNA", at positions 34 to 523 of the family's 1533-position model. Lineage: Bacteria; Pseudomonadati; Ignavibacteriota; Ignavibacteria; Ignavibacteriales; Ignavibacteriaceae. The record is from RNAcentral.
CGCUGGCGGCGUGCUUAACACAUGCAAGUCUACGAGAACGAGGUAGCAAUAUCUUUAGUAAAGUGGCGUACGGGUGCGUAACACGUAAGUAAUCUACCUUUGGGUUCGGAAUAACUUCGGGAAAUCGGAGCUAAUACCGGAUAAUGCAGCGGCACCGCAUGGUGAUGUUGUUAAAGUUUGUGUAAUGCCUAAAGAUGAACUUGCGUCUGAUUAGCUAGUUGGUGAGGUAAUGGCUCACCAAGGCUGCGAUCAGUAGCUGGUCUGAGAGGAUGAUCAGCCACACUGGAACUGAGACACGGUCCAGACUCCUACGGGAGGCAGCAGUGAGGAAUAUUGGGCAAUGCCCGAAAGGGUGACCCAGCAACGCCGCGUGGAGGAUGAAGGUCGUAAGAUUGUAAACUCCUGUUAGAGGGGAAGAAUAACUAAGUUUGGAGCUUAGUAUGACUGUACCCUCAGAGAAAGCCCCGGCUAACUACGUGCCAGCAGCCGCGGUAA